AAUGAUUAAGACCUUCUUGGGGUUUUCAAGGAGCUCAAGGUCAUCUAAAACUAAUGAAGAGGCUUAUAAUGAGCAUGGUUAUAAUAUAACACUGAAUAUAAUAUACCAUCCUAGAAACGUAAGGUUCCAAGAGAUUAAUGGAAGGAGCAGUCAUGUCCAUUAAGUCUAUAAAAGUUACGAUGUGCUGUAUACGAAUAUUGUAAGAUGAACUGUGUGAGAGGACAGAAAUCCCAUGUUAGUCAGAGUCAUAAACAAUUCCCAGGUAUAAUUCUCAGCAGGACCAAUGUGACUUCUGGUAAAUCAUAUAGCCAUGUCUUUAAUUGAACCAUGGAAGGAAGCCCCUAUGAGUAAGAUGCAGACUUUAAAGGAAAAACAGACGCUAGAUGGAUGACCUGACCCCUGUUGUCUGUUCUCAGUAAACAUUGCCCUUAAAGCAAAUACUGCUAUCGCAAGCUGUCAGCCACCAAGCUGAGGCAGGGGAGAUGUUCAGAAAGAGAUCUGCUCUCCAUGUGACACUUUGGAACUCAAGGAUCUCUCUAGAAUAGUCCUAGGAAUAAAUGGAUACACCUUGUUCUUUGUACUUUGAUUGCAGAAACCAGCUUGUCACCUGCCACCAGCUGGACUCAGGGCAUCUUGGUACUGCCUGCCAUCCAGACAUCUGAGACGACGCUAAUUACUCGCUCUGUCCUCUGCUCCCAUUACCAAGCCCUGCUUUCUGUUCAGGCUGGAGCAUAGUGGCACUAUCUUAGUUUCCUGCAACCUCAAACUCCUGGGCUCAAGUGUCAAGCGGUCCUCCUGCCUCAGCCUCCAGAGUAGUUGGGACUACAGAGAGGAGACUUGCUGUGUUAUUCGGGCUGGUCUUCAAUUCCUGGUCUCAAGCAAUUCUCCUGCCUCAGCUUUCCAAACUCUUGGUGUUAGAGGUGUGAGCCACUGCCCUCAGCUGAAAGGUAAUAUUUCAUAUGCUCCAAUGUCAUUGAGCAAUUUAAACCAGUUUAAAAAAAAAUUUUUUUUUUUUUGAGACAGACUCUCACUAUGUCACCCUAAGUAGAGUGUUGUCGCGUCACAGCUCACAGCAACCUCCAACUCC
Long non-coding RNA from Nycticebus coucang (slow loris), 1087 nucleotides. RefSeq lists it as uncharacterized. The record is from RefSeq and is a predicted model, not a curated record. The transcript has 3 exons. Lineage: Eukaryota; Metazoa; Chordata; Mammalia; Primates; Lorisidae.